Molecule: long non-coding RNA, 487 nt
Organism: Vicia villosa (hairy vetch)
Lineage: Eukaryota; Viridiplantae; Streptophyta; Magnoliopsida; Fabales; Fabaceae
Exons: 3
Source: RefSeq, a predicted model, not a curated record
UUAUGUUUUUUGUUGGAAUAGUAAACAUAUGUUGAACGAAAAAUGCAGCUUUAUAUUGUCUACACCACCCUUGAUACAGUAGGAAAUCAAACAUCUUAGUGUGUUCUUGUUGUAAGGGUUGCACCCUAGUGCGAUAUCUUAUAUACAAAUUGCUUAUUAAAAAAAAAAAAAAAACAUCUUCCCUGCUCCGUUACAAAGAUUUCGUACAUCAAGCUGCAGACAGAAACUCGGCACCCAAAUCUAUAUCGAGCCACUACUUUUGGAGGAGUUUUUGUGGUUUUGCGGUGCUGCUAACACAAAAGGAAGCCGAUAGAAUGGCCGGUCUUAAAGGGGUUGUCUCUGUUGAUCCAAGUCAAUCUUACCAACUCGAUCCCCCGAAUGGUACCAUUUCACUGGCCUGGAAAGUAAAAAAUUUAAGUUACUUAUUAACUGUAAUUCUAAACAUCCUACUUUAUAUUAUGAUUGAAUAAAUCAUGCAUUUUAGUAA